CUCCUGACUGACCGAUAGUGAACCAGUACCGUGAGGGAAAGGCGAAAAGAACCCCUGUUAGGGGAGUGAAAUAGAACCUGAAACCGUGUACGUACAAGCAGUGGGAGCCCACUUGUUGGGUGACUGCGUACCUUUUGUAUAAUGGGUCAGCGACUUACAUUCUGUAGCGAGGUUAACCGAAUAGGGGAGCCGUAGGGAAACCGAGUCUUAACUGGGCGAAUAGUUGCAGGGUGUAGACCCGAAACCGGGCGAUCUAUCCAUGAGCAGGUUGAAGGUUGGGUAACACUA
This 288-nucleotide ribosomal RNA is filed under the name Mesorhizobium sp. RNAcentral describes it as "partial 23S ribosomal RNA". It matches the Rfam family "Bacterial large subunit ribosomal RNA", at positions 473 to 764 of the family's 2925-position model. Lineage: Bacteria; Pseudomonadati; Pseudomonadota; Alphaproteobacteria; Hyphomicrobiales; Phyllobacteriaceae. The record is from RNAcentral.